RNAcentral lists this ribosomal RNA (434 nucleotides) under uncultured Lachnospiraceae bacterium. RNAcentral describes it as "partial 16S ribosomal RNA". It matches the Rfam family "Bacterial small subunit ribosomal RNA", at positions 341 to 792 of the family's 1533-position model. The record is from RNAcentral. Lineage: Bacteria; Bacillati; Bacillota; Clostridia; Lachnospirales; Lachnospiraceae.
ACGGGAGGCAGCAGUGGGGGAUAUUGCACAAUGGGGGAAACCCUGAUGCAGCGACGCCGCGUGAGUGAAGAAGUAUUUCGGUAUGUAAAGCUCUAUCAGCAGGAAAGAUAAUGACGGUACCUGACUAAGAAGCACCGGCUAAAUACGUGCCAGCAGCCGCGGUAAUACGUAUGGUGCAAGCGUUAUCCGGAUUUACUGGGUGUAAAGGGAGCGUAGGUGGCAUGGCAAGUCUCAAGUGAAAUGCGGGGGCUCAACCCCUGAACUGCUUUGGAAACUGUCAAGCUUGAGUACAGGAGAGGAAAGCGGAAUUCCUAGUGUAGCGGUGAAAUGCGUAGAUAUUAGGAGGAACACCAGUGGCGAAGGCGGCUUUCUGGACUGUAACUGACACUGAGGCACGAAAGCGUGGGGAGCAAACAGGAUUAGAUACCCUGGUA